RNAcentral lists this long non-coding RNA (400 nucleotides) under Homo sapiens (human). RNAcentral describes it as "HSALNT0254182". Lineage: Eukaryota; Metazoa; Chordata; Mammalia; Primates; Hominidae. The record is from RNAcentral.
AGGCAAGGAUUCAGGGACAUCUCAGAGCCGCUGGGGUCUCGUCGGUAAAGUGGUGGUGGACGGCAUGGAGGAACUUUAGCCCUGGACCAGAAACUUUAGGUCAGUCUAUGUCAGCCAUUGUUGCUAUCAGCCUUCAGGUCGUCUGGGCUGGGAGGUCUCCUCCCUCUUCCUCCAGGCACCAGUGGGAGCAGGCAGUCACACCUUCCUGUGAGUGAGAACCAUAGCAGAACCUUCAAAGCACCUCUCAAGUCGGGGAAAUUCAACUACUGAGGAGGUUACGGCACAAAAAUGUCAUCCAGCUGGUGGAUGUGUUAUACAACGAAGAGAAGCAGAAAAUGUAUAUGGUGAUGGAGUACUGCGUGUGUGGCAUGCAGGAAAUGCUGGACAGCGUGCCGGAGAA